Manihot esculenta (cassava) is the source of this 487-nucleotide long non-coding RNA. RefSeq lists it as uncharacterized. The record is from RefSeq and is a predicted model, not a curated record. Lineage: Eukaryota; Viridiplantae; Streptophyta; Magnoliopsida; Malpighiales; Euphorbiaceae. The transcript has 3 exons.
AUUUCUAAUCUUUAAUCCCUAAUCCCUAACAAAACUAACCCUAAUCCCUAAUUCUUAAUCCCUAAUCCCUAAUUAGCUAUACUAACAAAACUAACCCUAAUCCCCUCAUUUAUUUUUCCACUUUGCUAGAGUCACACUUCCCUCUCUCCGUCGGCACCUCUCUCCCCCGAUUCCCUUCCCAUAAUUCCCAGUCAACGCCUCUCUCCCCCCACUUCACUGGAGACAACCCUUGCCUCUCCACAAUCGGCGUCGGCGACAUUUCCUUUGACUGGAACUCUCUUCAGGAUUUUCUUUUCCUUCACUUCAACUACUGUUGUCGACAUCUUUUGUUUUUCCACGAUUUUGAGUGCCCAUUUCUUGAAAAGAUCCUACUCGACCUUUUGCUACUCUUUCUCUGGCCCGUUGACUUAAUUUACUGUUCCAACUAUGGUUGAAUCUGUGUCAAUUUUGGGAAAUUCUGCACCAAUUGAAAAUGGUGUUUGUAACG